CGGCGGACGGGUGAGGAACACAUCGGAAUCUACCCUGUCGUGGGGGACAACGUAGGGAAACUUACGCUAAUACCGCAUACGACCUUUGGGUGAAAGCGGGGGACCCGCAAGAGCCUCGCGCGAUUGGAUGAGCCGAUGUCCGAUUAGCUAGUUGGCGGGGUAAUGGCCCACCAAGGCGACGAUCGGUAGCUGGUCUGAGAGGACGACCAGCCACACUGGAACUGAGACACGGUCCAG
This 237-nucleotide ribosomal RNA is filed under the name uncultured bacterium. RNAcentral describes it as "partial 16S ribosomal RNA". It matches the Rfam family "Bacterial small subunit ribosomal RNA", at positions 96 to 334 of the family's 1533-position model. The record is from RNAcentral.